CUCACAGUUCAUGGGUUCGAGCCCCGUGUCAGGCUCCAUGCUGACAUUGAUGGUGUGGAGCCUGCCUGGGAUUCUCUCUCUCCCCCUCUCUCUCUGCUCCUCCCCUGCUCUUUCUCUCUCAAAAAUAUAUAAACUUAAAAAAAAAAAAACAAACACUUUUAGAAACUGGGCAAAAGUUUUAAAAAACAAAUACCUAAGGACAAUAAGAAGUAAAGAAAAGUAGGCAGAUUUCAGAAGACAGUCAGAAGUCCCCCCAACUUUUGUUCACUUUUCUCUAGCAGCUCUGCCCCCAGAGUUGGCCCAGUCAUGGAGUUAUGCAGUGAGGCAGAGGAGCAAAAGGUAAAACUCUGGUAGAAACCCAGUCUGGCCAAAGGAACUAAUAAAAAAGGCCUCUGUGGACAGGAGAGUGUGAGGAUCCCUUAAUUCUGUAAAUGAACUCCCACAAGACUCAGGCUCACCUCUGAGCUGCAGGGCGGAACAAAAGUAGCACAGCAAAAGUAUUGAAAACUGACCUAACAAUGGGACCUCUGUGAGCAGGCAGCAGCAGGCAGAACUUGUACUUGGAACCUAAUCAGGAAGAAGACCUGCUACAACCAACACCAGCACUGUGCAGAGGGUCACUGCAGCACCCGGAACCUGACAUGAAAUUCACAAUCUCCACGAGAUAAGGCACAGCCAAAACAGCACGGGAUGACAAAACCUGAACUUGCUAUGGGAAUUUCCAAACAGAUAAGAACUUAAGAACUUUGCAAACACACCCCAGGUUGAAAGACAAGAGAAACUUGAAGAAAAUAGCCAGUGAAAAUACGAGCACCUUUCUUAAAAGGUCCUCAUAAGAACUGCAACACAAAAGAGACCAAGGCCCUGACUGUCUUCUAUUCAACAGAAUCAGUACUCAGAUGAGUGCCAUCAAGAUCUCUUUAGUCUCCAUAAGUGAUUGCAAACACUUGACAAUCAAGAUUAACGUCUGACCUAGAGAGCACAAGCGGAGGAGGGGCAGAAAGAGAGAGGAAUAGAGGAUCCGAAGCAGGCUCAGUGCUGACAACAGGGAGCCCAACGUGGGGCUCAAACUCGUGAAUCCUGAGAUCAUGACCUGAGCUGAAGUCAGAGGCUUAACCGAAUGAGCCACCCAGGUUGCAGCUAAGUGGAGAAGGAAGUCCACGAGUUCCUACGCUUCUCUUCAGCUGACUUUUGCCAGCACGAACACAGGAAACGGGACACAGCUGCAUCAGUCUAGCAAUGCAGGUCUGCAGGAUAGGGAUGAUGCAAGGACCACUGGGCCAGGACACAGCUGAAAUGCCACGCUCUGAGUUCCCAGGGGUUUAGGUACCAGUCUCAACAACUGAUGGACCCAAAAGCCCAGGACAGCCAAUGAGAGCUCCACAUUCACUUGGCCAUGAGGACUGCUUCGGGCAUGUGAUCAAGCCAGGCCAAUCAGAACCUUUGGACUUGACAGUGAGGCCUUCACAUUCCUGAAGUGAACUUCCAACAGGCUGCUUCAAAUCUCCAAACUGGCCAACAUCGAAAUGUUUGGACAGAUGCUCUGCUGUCUCCCUGAUCGUACACCUGGAUGCAAUCAUGUUUCCAAGGCAAGGCCACAUUACAAGUGAACUGCUUUUUCAAAUUUCA
Molecule: long non-coding RNA, 1629 nt
Organism: Acinonyx jubatus (cheetah)
Lineage: Eukaryota; Metazoa; Chordata; Mammalia; Carnivora; Felidae
Exons: 7
Source: RefSeq, a predicted model, not a curated record